RNAcentral lists this long non-coding RNA (330 nucleotides) under Brassica napus (rape). Its description in RNAcentral is "long non-coding RNA (BNAP_LNC018430)". Lineage: Eukaryota; Viridiplantae; Streptophyta; Magnoliopsida; Brassicales; Brassicaceae. The record is from RNAcentral.
CUAAACCCUAAAACUCAACUCUAAACCCUAAACCAUCAAUCCUAAACCUUAUUUUUUUUUAAAUACGAACCCUAAACCCUAAACCAUCAAUCUUAAAUCUUUUUUUUUUAAAUAAACCCUAAACCAUGAAACAUCAACUCUAAUCUCUAAAUCCCGAAACAUCAACACUAAACCCUAAACCCUAAACCUUCAACUCUAAACCCUGAAACAUCAACUCUAAACCCUAAACCCUAAACCUUCAACUCUAAACCCUAAACCCUAAACUUCAAUUCUAAACCCUAAACCAUCAACACUAAACCCUAAACUACCAACACUAAACCCUAAACCCUA